This 9758-nucleotide long non-coding RNA is filed under the name Homo sapiens (human). RNAcentral describes it as "HSALNT0080300". Lineage: Eukaryota; Metazoa; Chordata; Mammalia; Primates; Hominidae. The record is from RNAcentral.
CCAUACUCAGUAUGAUAAUCAUGUUUCUAUUUAUUUUUUGCCAAUCUGAUACACUCAAAAUAGUAUUCUUAAUUUUAUUUUUAUUUCUUUAAUUAAGUUUAUUUGGAAGGUUGGGCAGUAUUUUUGCAAAUUUUUAUUGGUAGUUUUUUUGUGACUGGGCUGACACAUCCUGUGGGUUACAUUUUGAUUUAAAUGAGUAAACAGGAAAAAUCUACAAACAGAAAAGAAGUCAAGUUCUUUCAAUAUGACCACUGACCAGUGUUACUAAUAGGAAAUUACUACUGAAAAUACAAGUUGUACCCUUUAUAAUGUGUACAAAUGCAACAAAAUCUUGCAGCUGUUUUGCAUAAUUCUUCCCUAUCAGUUUUAUUUGUAGAGAUCUAUUUCUAUGCACAAUUUUAAAAGUAAAACAAAAAACUACAUUUGCCAAAUUAUCAUGUAUACUAAUAUCAUCAUGACACUAAAUUGCCUCUUGAAGCAAAAUUGAUUUAAUAAACCAAUAAAGAUGCAACAGAUGCAUUCAAUUCAACAGAUUUUAGAAGUCUAAGUUCUUGCUAAACUUAUUCUAAAUAAAUUCCUAAAACUGACACAAUAUGGCAAUCUGAUGACACAUCAUCAGUUUUUGAUUGAUAUUGAGUUAAUGCUAAUAAACAACAAUCCAGUUUCCAACUAAUUAAUAGGUCCAAAAAUGUUAUGAAGUUUUAACCCAGUGGUGUAUACAUAAGUGAAACCCUUGAAAAUGUGUAGUUUAAUUAUGAAACUGCUACCACAAGUGUCCUUAUUAUGGAAUUUUGAGAAAAUUAUAAUUGGAUGAAUAGAAAAGUGUUAUCACUGAGUUAACCUUGAAUUAUUUUUGUUCGUGUGUGUGUGUAUGUCUGUGUGUGUGUGAGAGAGAGAUCUGUAUUAAGGCAUAUAUGGGUAUUAAAUAUAUGCAGUUAGUUUCUAGCAGAAUUUCUUAGCACUAAUGUCUCCUUAAAUAUAAAUUUAACAGUUUUUUUCCUUAGUCUUUGUUAUAAUAUUUCUUCUUCUCUUCCUCAAUUCCAACUUUGAAAAUCUUGUGGUUUACUAGUGCCUUUGAGGAAUCCUACAAUAGUGGCUACAAGCUCAGAUCCUGGGAUCAGACAACUCCUGUGUUCCACAUGAUUUCAUCAAGUACUAGCUGCAAGAAAUCAAACAAAAUCUUUAACCUAUACAAGUCUUCACUUUUCUUCCUUAUAAAAUGUUAAUGUUUACUACCUCACAAAAUUGUUGUGAAGAUGUAAACACAUAAAAGAUGCAAAAUAUAUCCCUUUUUUCAGGGACGACCACCCUACCUAGCCAUUCAAACCAUCAAUAAAGCCAAGAGUCAUUCCAGACAUCUUCCUUCUGCAGCACAAUCCCUAACAUUGCAGAGUCCUGUCAAUUCAUGUCCCAUUACUUCCAGGAUAAAAUCCAAACUCCUCAGUAAGGCCCCAAAGGUCUCCUGUCACCUGACUUAUGGUUACUUUCUAGCUCUAGGAAUUGUUUUCUUCUAUUCCAUCCUUGUACACUCUUCAUACCCGUCAUACCUAUCUACCUGCUGGUUUCAAAACAUGCUGAGCUGUUUUACAGUUCUACGGCUUUUCUCAGGUUUAUCUUUUAUUUUUUAAGAUUCAGCCCUAAGAUCAUGUUCUCUGUGAAUUAUUCCCUACCUUCCUCCUCUUCCCAUCUGUACCCAAGGUGGAAUAGACUUUUCUCACCUCUAUGUUCCCACCAUACCUUGUACAAACAUAUACUUGUAUUAUAGCACCUAGUGUCUUUAUUCAUCCAUUUUCUAAUAUUGCACUUAGGAUUGCAUUCCCAGCAUCAAAUGACUGACCAAUAAUAAGCACAAAACAAAUGUUCAUUGAAUAAAUGAAUAUAUUAAAUUUCAAUGGCUCUCUAAUUUCACUAGGUUGGUUCAUUAACGGAAAUAUUAACAGCAACUUAUAUGUACUUCUCCACUUGUUGCUCCAAGAGAUUUACAGCUCUAAGUAAAUGGAGAGACACCUUAGCCUAUUAGGCCUAUGAGAAUGGUCUCAUUCUGGUCUUCAUUUCUCUCCUUCCAGAAACCUCUCUGAAUGAUUUUCUACAUUCCAUUUGUAUCUUAUCCUUUUCUGUUGUUGUUGCGUAUGGGCAUUUUUUAACUAUUUGUAGAAUGUCCUUAGAAUUUGUGUGGACUUGCUCAGAUUUCACUGUUUAUCACAAUAUGCCUGGAAUCAGCUUCAUAAAAUAGGGACAGACCAUUAAAUUUGUUAAGCUGAAUAUAGUGCCCCUUCUUUUAAUGUAAGAAUGAUUUCCUAUUUAUAUCCUAAAUGACGGACUCUUUGUCUCCAGCCUCUUUUUCUGUCUUCAGAUACUACUUUGAAAACAAGAUGAAAGCCAUGGAAUCUCCCGAGAAAAAUGUACAUCUUACAGACUUUCAGUGAGUUCUGGAAUACCAGGAACCAGAGCCCACACUAAUGAACAGCAGUUUCCUAACCUAAUGCGAGAGAUUUGAGAUUUCUUCUGGCUCCCAUGAUCUUCUAAUUGUCUUCUUAGCAAGACUAAACACAUCUCCAAGAAAUGUGCACUGCCAUGAAUGUCUUCCAGCUAUCUUCUAUGACAGCACUUCCCAGUGUGUUCUGUGGAAUAAUGGUACAGGGUGAUAUUCUAUGAAGAAAAAUACGGAAAGUAAUAUACUCCACAGUCCGUAUAUUAGAUCGGACUAAUAAAAAUAAAUAUGGAAAGUAAUAUAUUCCACAGUCAUAUAUUAGAUCGCCUACACAACAGCAAUUUGAUAUAGUUUAAUAGGAUUUGAAUGAAUAAAAUUAAUGCCCACAGCUACUUUCUUCUGCCGGUAAAUAUUUUUCUGCCCAUAAUCUUGCUAAACAGAAUUCAUCUGAACUUACGUUGUUGCCAACAAAUAUACGAACAAUUAUACCUAAUCAAAAACAAAAACCAAACUGAUGUUAAAGAAAAUUAAUCAUUUGCUUUGAAUAAAUCAACUAUUAAGAAAGCUUAUAUAAUUGAGCCUAACAGUGCCAAAUCAUGUCUGAGAUGAAAUGCUGCAUGAUACAUAAUCAAACAGACAUUUGCAAGAGCUGUGGGUUGGGGGAGAGUGCAAAUGUUUCCCAGCACUCCUGUAUGUCAUGGGAGCACACAAUAAAACACUUGAAAAGCUGCAAUAAUAAAAGGUUUAAAGAGCUGCAAUAAUAGGUUUUGCACACUGUAGUGGCUACUGACACUGAGAACAUUUUAGAAGUUCAUCUCUAUCAUCCAAACACUACACACCACCAUAUCUAUCUAUUACGUUUUAAUAGGAAUUCUAUACUAAUAUUUUAUCCCUUUGCAUCUGCUCUAUUUUACUAUUUGGGUCAUAUCUCUUGUUAGAAACAAUGUUUGGCCCAUCUAUCCUCAAUAUAAAUAAAAAGCUUUUACCACAUAAACAAGGUCAGUUUGUUCUGUUUGAAAGAUGGAGUAAUGGAACUAACUGUAAGAUAUGCAAUGUAAAAUUUAUUCCCAUUUCACCUUUAUAUGAGUAGAAAUGAAAGGGUACUCAACUAAAAUAUGCGUAACAAUUAGGCUUUCUGUACUAGCCUUCAAAUAAAUAUGUGUGUACUUAUACAGAUAAUAGUGUAAAUGUAUGCUUUCUAUAGAAUGCACAGAAGAAAAUAUUUGAUGUUUUUCUUCAUGGCUUAUUUUCAUUAUUAAGUAUUUUACCAUUUGAUACAUGAAUCUGUACUUUGUUUUCAGGUAAUUGCAUAUAUCUAGUCUGCCAAUGACAGCAAUUUAUCAUUGCACAGAGUCAAAAAUGAGAUGUAAUUUUAUUGCUGCUAGUAGCUCAAAACAAGUCCUUUGGUCUGAUUUAUUUAUUUUUUUUGAGACGGAGUCUCGCUUUGUCAACCAGGCUAGAGUGUAGUGGAGCGAUCUAGGCUCACUGCAACCUCCGCCUCUCGGGUUCAAGCAAUUCUCCUGCCUCAGACUCCCGAGUAGCUGGAAUUACAGGGAUGCACCACCACACCCAGCUAAUUUUUGUGUUUUAGUAGAGAUGGGAUUUCACCAUGUUGGCCAGGCUGGUCUCGAACUCCUGACCUCAAGUGAUCUGCCUGCCUCAGCCUCCCAAAGUGUUGGGAUUACAGGUGUGAGCCACCCCGCCCAGCCUGAUAGGUAAUAUUAAGGGAAUAUUUCUCAACUUUAAUUUCAGCCACACUAUAGAAAAUAGUCCCUUGGUUUCUGGAACAUAAUUGCAUGUAGUCCAUUUCCAUACAGGAUAUUAUCCAUAUCCUAAUUUAUAUCCAUAUAAAUUUAGGAUUGGACUGGGUUACAAAAUGAGAAGUAAAAAAAAACUUUUGAAAUACUGGCAAUUUAUCUGCAGAAAAGGACACAAAUAUGUGCAUUUUUUUCUUUUGUAUCCCGAAUGCACUAAAUCAUGAACAGUGUAGCUGCAACAUUACCUGAAAAUGAAUUCUUGUGAAUAAUACUGUUCUUUAUUUUUUAUAUUUUCCAGCUUGCAUUACUAAAAUUACCUACUUUUUAAACAUUUAGACCUCAGAGAUUAUUAUUGGUGUUAAACAUGAAACGUCAGACUGAAUAUUUUAUGAAUGCAUAUUGUGUGAACAUGAAUUCAUUCUACAAAUUAGUUUUUAAUUCUUUUUUUAAGAUCUAAUAUUUAAUAAUACACUAAUUUACUUUCCUUAGCACUUAUAGAAGUACAUGACUGCUUAUUUCAAAAAAUUCUAAAUACCCUGAGCAGGUUAAGAUAGUGUCCUAAGUAAAGAAUUUCCUCAAGUCUGCUUUAUGUGCCUCAGCCAGAUUGGGAAAGACUGAGAAGUAAAGACACAGAAAGAAUUGUUUAUCUUCUUUUGCUUAUAUUUCCUGAUUUGAGUCAUCCAGAGGUGAAAGAGAUUGCCUUUUCUGCAACAGAAAAUAACUCAAUAAUGGCAAGUUGUGUAAAAGAACUAGUACGAAGCAUUGAGCCAGUUUAACAUACUGCCUAAAAACUUUUAAGUUAAUAAAAUCAAAUCCAAAUGCCAAACAUUAUCGUUGAAAGAAAAUACAUACAAAUGACACAUUAUAUUUGAGACUCUAUGUCUCCCUAAUUCAAUGAUUAGGACUUUAAGAAACUGUUCCUUAAAACAUACAGUAAGAUUUCCAAUACCUGAGAAUUUUAAAUACCACUUCUUUAUAUUUAAUAAAUAGCUUAAAAUUAUAGCAAACUGGAAUUCAGAUUCUCAUUUCUUUACCAAAUUGGCCUCAAUUUUUUUUAAAUAUAGUUGCUGUUCACCAGCUCUAAACAAUCAACAAAAAAUGCAGAACAAAAAGAAGUGGAGAGGAGUGACAAAUCACAAUUUGGUGGGAAAAGAGGAAAAGAAUGAGAAAGCAUUCGAUAUUCAUUGCCCCAAAACAAUGGAGACCUGUACACAGGCACCAUGGUAAUUACUUACAUCUUCCCUAUGUCCCACUAGUACAUAUUAAUAAUUUAGUUUCUAUUACUAGUCACUUACCUACACAGAAGAAACUGAUACAUUUUGGAAUUUAUAUGACUUAACUACAUGGCUUUUAAGAAGUAUCCUACUAUAGUUUGACUGUCUGUCCCCUCCAAAACUCAUGUUGCAAUUUAGUUGCCACUGUAACAGUAUUAAGAGAUGGGACCUUUAACAGGUGAGUAGACCAUGAGGGCUCCCCCCUCACUGGGGGACUUCUACCAUUAUAAGGGUGAGUUCAGCCACUCCUGUCCUCUCUUACCCUCCUGCCUUCACCAUGUGAUGACAUAGCAAGAAGGCCUUCACAAGAUGCCAUGCCUUGAUAUUGGACUUCCCAGACUCCAGAAGUGUGAGCCAAUAAAUUUCUGUUCAUUAUACAUUACCCAGUCUGUGAUAUUCUGAUAAAAAAGCACAAAACAGAACAUGUCCUUUGGUAAGUUAUGAAACUGCACUCUAUUCCAGGUUUCCCCUAGACAGUCUGUAAUAGUCUGUUUUAUAUUGCUAUAAAGAAAUGCCUGAAGCUGAGUAAUUUAUUAAGAAAAGAGGUUUAUUUAGCUCACAGUUCUACAGGUUGUAAAAGGAACAUGACACCAACAUCUGCCUCUGGUUAGAGCCUCAGGAAGCUUUCAAUCACAGGGAAGGUGAAGUGGGAGCAGUUAUGUCACACGGUGAGUGUGAGCAAGAGAGGUGCCAUGCUCUUUUAAACAACAGCUCUUGUGUGAACUAACAGAGUGAGAACUCACACAUUACCAUGGGGACAGCACCAAACCAUUCAUAAGGGUUCCAUCCCAUGACCGAAACACCUCCACGAGGAUCACAUUUCAACACAAGAUUUGGAGGGGACAAAGGUCCAAACUGUAGCACAGUCUCAACCCAGUUAUUUCAAUUAUCUAUUUCUAAUAAGUAAACAAGUCACCCAAUUACCAUGGUGUGAUCAUAGCUCAUUGGAGCCUCAACCUCCUGGGUUCAAGUGAUCUUCCUGCCUCAGCCACUUGAGUAGCUGAGACUACAGGCAUGCGUAACCAUGCUCGGCUAAUUUUUGUAUUUUUUGUAGACAAGGUUUCACCAUGUUGCCCAGGUUGGUGGUCUUGAACUCCUGGGCUCUAGCAAUCCUCCUGCCUCAGCCUCCCAAAGUGUUGGGAUUACAGGCAUGAACCACCCUACCCGGCCUACAGCUACUCACCUUAAUAAAACAAAUAUAUUAGCUUAGGCAAUGAUUUUAAUUUCAUUCUAUAUUUGCAACUGUAGACAUGCAAAGGGGUUAUCCAUACACAAUCAUGUGAAUGUCAGCCUACCUUAUUAUAUAGUAAAAGGCUAAUAUAAAGAAUUCUCCAUAGAAAGUGAGAAACUGUGUGAGUGGAACAUUUUAAGUAUUUGCCUUUACAUCAGUUUAAAGAUCUAGGGACACAAUUUUAAAGAAGCACUGUAAGAUUAAGGUGAGGAUAAUGACAACUGCAUUAUUUCUCUCUCCCCAAUAAGAGACAGUUGGUGACUUAGUCCUUUUGUGCUGCUGUAACAAAAUACCACAGGCUGAGUAAUUUAUAAAAACAAUAGAAAUUUAUGCUGGGCAUGGUGGCUUGCGCCUGUAAUCUCAGCUACUCAAAAGGCUGAGACAAAGGGAUUGCUUGAGGCCAGGUGUCCGAGGGCAGCUAAGACAACAUAGCAAGACCCUGUCUCUAAAAUAAAUAAGUACGCCUUACAGUUCUGGAUGCUGGGAAGUCAAGAUGAAGGCAUUAGCAGGUUUAGUGUCCGGUGAUGGUUGCUCUCUGCUUACAAGAUGGCACCCUGUUGCCACAUCCUCCAGAGGGAGGAAUACUGAGUCUUCUUCACAUGGUGGAUGAGACUGAAGAGCAAAAUGGAUCUAAGCCAGUUCCUUCCAGCCCCUUUUAUAAGGCACUAAUCCAUACAUAAGUGCAGAGCCCUCAUGACUUAAUCACUUCCCAAUACUUUAAACAAUUUCUUUAGAUUAUUUAUAAUGCCUAAUACAACGUAAACCUUAUAUAAAUAGUUAUACUUUAUUGUUUAGGGAAUAAUUACAAGAAAAAAAAAGUCUACCAUGUUCAGUACAGGUGCAACCACACAUUUUAUUUUUUCUAUAUGUUUUCGAUCCACAAUUGGUUGAACCCACAGAUGCAGAACCCACAGACAUAGAGGGCCAAUUUGUAUAGAGAGGAAGGCAACCAGACCUAAGUGGUUAAGACACCAACUUAAUUUAAAGCAAAGAUCAAAUGGUAUAAUUCAGAUGUUUCUGUAGAUAGUAAACAUCCAGUCAGAUAAUACUACAGGCAUACACUGUUUUAUUGUACUUCAUUGUACUAUACUUCAUAUAUAUUGCAUUUUUUACAAAUCGAAGGUUUGUAGCAAUCCCACACCUAGCAAGUGUAUCAACUCCAUUUUCCCAACAGCAUAUGCUCACUUCAUGUAUUCUGUCGCAUUCUGGUAAUUCUCCCAAUAUUCUGAACUUUUUCUUAACUGUUAUUUGUGUUAUAGCGAUCUCAAUCAGUGAUCUUUGAUGUUACUAUUGUUUUGGAGGCACCAUGAACUAUGCCCAUAUAAUAUAGUGAACUUAAUGGAUACAUGUGUAUGUUCUGACUGCUCCACACAUCUGCUGUUUCCUUUUCUCUCUCCUCAGGCCUUCCUAUUUCGUGAAACAGCAACACUGAAAUUAAACCAAUCACUAGCCGUAUAAUGACCUCUAAGUAUUCAAGUGAAAGGAAGAGUUGUACAUCUCUCACUUUACAUCAAAAGUUAGAAAUGAUUAAGCUUAUUGAGGACAGCAUGUUGACAGCUGAGGCAAACUAAAAGCUAGGCCUCUUGUGCCAAACAGCCAAGUUGCGAAUGCAAAGAAAAAGUUCUUAAAAGAAACUAAAAGUACUACUCCAGUGAACACAGGAAUAAGAAAGCAAAACAGCUUUACAGCAGAUAUGGAGUAAGUUUAAAUGGUCUGGAUAAAAGAUCAAACCAGUUACAACAUUCCCUUAAGCCAAAGCCUAAUCCAGAGCGGGCCCUAACUCUCUUCGAUUCUACGAAGGCUGAGAGAAACCGCAGAGGGAAACUGCAGUGGGAAACUGCAGUGGGAAGGUAGCAGAGGUUGGCUCAUGAGGUUUAAGGAAAGAAGCCAUCUCCAUAACAUAAAAGUGCAAGAUGAAGCUGUAAGUUAUCCAGAAGAUCUAGAUAAGAUGGAUGCACUAAACACUAAACAACAGAUUUUCAGUGUACAUAAAAUAGCCUUAUAUUCAAAGAAGAUGCCAUCUAGGAUUUUCAUAGCUGUAGAACGGGAAUCAAUGCCUGGCUUCCAAGCUUCAAAGGACAGGCUAUCUUGUUAGGGGUACUGCAGCUGGUGACUUAAAGUUGAAGCCAAUGCUCAUUUACAAUUCCAAAAAUCCUAGGGUCCUUAAGAAUUUUGCUAAAUGUACUCUGCCUGUGCUCUAUAGACUCUAUAGAUAGAAAAACUAUGCCUGGAUGACAGCACAUCUUUUAAAAUCAUGGUUUACUGAAGACGUUAAGUCCACCAUUCAGUAAAAGAUUUCUUUUGAAAUGCUACUGAUCAUUAACAAUGUACCUGGUCACCCAAGAACUCCAAUGGAGAUGUACAAGGAGUUGAAUUUUUUUAAUGCCUGCUAACACAUCCAUUCCAUAGCCCAUGGAUCAAGGAAUAGUUUUGACUUUCAAGUCUUAUUAUGCAAGAAUAUUUUUUGCAAGGCUAUAGCUGUCACAGUGAUUCCUCUGAUGGAUUUGGGCAAAGUAAACUGGAAACCUUCUGGAAAGGAUUCACCAUUUAAGAUGUCAUUAAGAACAUUGAUGAUUUAUGAGGGGGGUCAAAAUACCAAUAUUAACAGGAGUUUGGGAGAAGUUGAUUCCAACCCUCAUUAAUAAUUUUGAGGUGUUUAAGACUUCACUGGAGGAAAUAACUGAAUAUGUGGUAGAAAUAGGAAGAGAACUAGAAUUAGAAGUGGAACCUAAAGAUGUGACUGAAUUGCUGCAAUCUCACGAAAAAACUUGAACAGAUGAGGAGUUACUUCUUAUGCAUAAGCAAAAAUGAGGUUUCUCAAGUAAAAGCUACUCAUGGUGAAGACGCUAUGAACACUGUUGAAAUGAUAACAAAGGACUUAGAAUGCUACCUUCUUAGUUGAUAAGGCAGUGGCAGGGUUUGAGAGGACUUGAUCCCAAAUUUCAAAGUUUUACAGAGAAUAAAAUGCUAUCAAGUAGCAUCACAUGCUACACAGAAAUCUUUGGUGAAAGGAAGAGCCAAUUAAUGUAGCACACUUCACUGCUAUCUAUUAGGAGAAACUGCCA